RNAcentral lists this ribosomal RNA (1388 nucleotides) under Streptococcus thermophilus. RNAcentral describes it as "bacterial SSU rRNA". It matches the Rfam family "Bacterial small subunit ribosomal RNA", at positions 50 to 1422 of the family's 1533-position model. The record is from RNAcentral. Lineage: Bacteria; Bacillati; Bacillota; Bacilli; Lactobacillales; Streptococcaceae.
UAUACAUGCAGUAGAACGCUGAAGAGAGGAGCUUGCUCUUCUUGGAUGAGUUGCGAACGGGUGAGUAACGCGUAGGUAACCUGCCUUGUAGCGGGGGAUAACUAUUGGAAACGAUAGCUAAUACCGCAUAACAAUGGAUGACACAUGUCAUUUAUUUGAAAGGGGCAAUUGCUCCACUACAAGAUGGACCUGCGUUGUAUUAGCUAGUAGGUGAGGUAAUGGCUCACCUAGGCGACGAUACAUAGCCGACCUGAGAGGGUGAUCGGCCACACUGGGACUGAGACACGGCCCAGACUCCUACGGGAGGCAGCAGUAGGGAAUCUUCGGCAAUGGGGGCAACCCUGACCGAGCAACGCCGCGUGAGUGAAGAAGGUUUUCGGAUCGUAAAGCUCUGUUGUAAGUCAAGAACGGGUGUGAGAGUGGAAAGUUCACACUGUGACGGUAGCUUACCAGAAAGGGACGGCUAACUACGUGCCAGCAGCCGCGGUAAUACGUAGGUCCCGAGCGUUGUCCGGAUUUAUUGGGCGUAAAGCGAGCGCAGGCGGUUUGAUAAGUCUGAAGUUAAAGGCUGUGGCUCAACCAUAGUUCGCUUUGGAAACUGUCAAACUUGAGUGCAGAAGGGGAGAGUGGAAUUCCCAUGUGUAGCGGUGAAAUGCGUAGAUAUAUGGAGGAACACCGGUGGCGAAAGCGGCUCUCUGGUCUGUAACUGACGCUGAGGCUCGAAAGCGUGGGGAGCGAACAGGAUUAGAUACCCUGGUAGUCCACGCCGUAAACGAUGAGUGCUAGGUGUUGGAUCCUUUCCGGGAUUCAGUGCCGCAGCUAACGCAUUAAGCACUCCGCCUGGGGAGUACGACCGCAAGGUUGAAACUCAAAGGAAUUGACGGGGGCCCGCACAAGCGGUGGAGCAUGUGGUUUAAUUCGAAGCAACGCGAAGAACCUUACCAGGUCUUGACAUCCCGAUGCUAUUUCUAGAGAUAGAAAGUUACUUCGGUACAUCGGUGACAGGUGGUGCAUGGUUGUCGUCAGCUCGUGUCGUGAGAUGUUGGGUUAAGUCCCGCAACGAGCGCAACCCCUAUUGUUAGUUGCCAUCAUUCAGUUGGGCACUCUAGCGAGACUGCCGGUAAUAAACCGGAGGAAGGUGGGGAUGACGUCAAAUCAUCAUGCCCCUUAUGACCUGGGCUACACACGUGCUACAAUGGUUGGUACAACGAGUUGCGAGUCGGUGACGGCGAGCUAAUCUCUUAAAGCCAAUCUCAGUUCGGAUUGUAGGCUGCAACUCGCCUACAUGAAGUCGGAAUCGCUAGUAAUCGCGGAUCAGCACGCCGCGGUGAAUACGUUCCCGGGCCUUGUACACACCGCCCGUCACACCACGAGAGUUUGUAACACCC